AGAGUUUGAUCAUGGCUCAGAACGAACGCUGGCGGCGUGCCUAAUACAUGCAAGUCGAACGAGAAAAGGGCUUCGGCUCUUAGUAAAGUGGCAGACGGGUGAGUAAUACAUAGGUAAUCUACCUUCAAGAUGGGGAUAACCUUCCGAAAGGAGGGCUAAUACCGAGUGAGACCACAGUUGCUUCGGCAACAGGGGUUGAAGAUGGCCUCUAUUUAUAUGCUAUCGCUUGAAGAUGAGCUUAUGCACCAUUAGCUAGUUGGUAGGGUAACGGCCUACCAAGGCUACGAUGGUUAGCUGAUCUGAGAGGUUGAUCAGCCACACUGGAACUGAGACACGGUCCAGACUCCUACGGGAGGCAGCAGUAGGGAAUAUUGCGCAAUGGAGGAAACUCUGACGCAGCGACGCCGCGUGGGUGAUGAAGGCCUUCGGGUCGUAAAGCCCUGUCGGAAGGGAAGAAAAAUAUUUGAGAUAACAUCUCAGAUACUUGACGGUACCUUCAGAGGAAGCACCGGCUAACUACGUGCCAGCAGCCGCGGUAAUACGUAGGGUGCUAGCGUUGUUCGGAAUCAUUGGGCGUAAAGCGCGUGUAGGUCGUUAGUUAAGUCGGGUGUGAAAUCCCUGGGCUCAACCGAGGAAGUGCAUCCGAAACUAACUAGCUAGAGAAUGGUAGAGGAAGGUGGAAUUCCUAGUGUAGAGGUGAAAUUCGUAGAUAUUAGGAGGAAUACCGGUGGCGAAGGCGGCCUUCUGGACCAUUUCUGACACUGAGACGCGAAAGCGUGGGGAGCAAACAGGAUUAGAUACCCUAGUAGUCC
Molecule: ribosomal RNA, 812 nt
Filed under: uncultured bacterium
Lineage: Bacteria
Description: bacterial SSU rRNA
Rfam family: Bacterial small subunit ribosomal RNA
Source: RNAcentral